CUUAAAAAAUCACAUUAUACGUCCCCAACGUUAAUCUCCGUUAACAAUUUUGGUCUCCAGACAGUUUUCCGUCAAAAAACUAACAUUUCUAAGGACAAAAAUGUAAUUAAACAAAAAAAAUUACAAAACUAAAAACCCAGAAAACAUGAAUGUUAGGAUAGAAAUCUUCAUAUGAAAAAUCCAGAUAUUCAUGUCAUCAUUCCAUUUUUCCAUCAUCUUCAUAUAAACCAACUAAAUACAAAUCAAUAUUUCCAUCAUCAUCAUUCCAUUUUACCAUGAAUGAAUUAUAUAACCCGUCACUAAAAUCAACCUUUCUCCUUAACCUAUUACCUUCCCCUGUCAAUGAACCACCAUCAAUAAUCACCCCCUUCUACAGCCAAACUCAUAUCCCAGAAAAACCUCCCUAAACGCAGCAAUAAACCCAAGGGGAAAAGAUGAAAGAGAGCCCAAACCUCCAUCUCCAGCAACUGCCUUCACCGGAAGCCAACCCUCAUCGCUGCCACCUCCAAGCCAACAACUAUGGCGGAUUACAAAUUGGAAGAUUUCCGCAUCGGAAGCCUCUCAUUCCUCUCUCUUCUUUCUUCCUCCUCUUUCUGUUUCAGGUUUCAAUUCUUCAUUUUCUGCAACAAUGGAGGAUUACAAACUAGAAGUUGGUGUCUUUGGUUUUGUGUUAAAGGAAGAAAAAAAGUGGGGGACCGAUGAAGGAGAUUGUGGGUUUUCAGGGUUCGCAACGUUUAAUCUUUGAUCAGUGAUGGAGAUCCAAUCUCACUCUCAACCGCGGCCACCAUAACCAUCGUCGAUCAUUCUUCUCAAGCUCCAAAUUCCUGUUUAGCUUCCUCCUCCACUUUUCUUUUCGUUCAACUCGCUUCAGAUCUUGAUUUGGAUCUGUGAAAUUCUUCUCUUCCGGAAGAGAGGAGACCAUGAUUGGGGGUUGUUCUUCUUGUUUUGGGGUUUUGGUUGGGGAUUAUUGUUUUGGGAUUUUGGUUGGAGGUUCCAUUUCCUCUGCGAAUGAAUAUUGCGGGACUUGAAGGACAUGAAGAAGAGGCUGAAGGAGAUUAAGGCUUUGUUUGGAUUGGGGGAGGGGGAUGGAGUGGAGUGG
This 1099-nucleotide long non-coding RNA is filed under the name Lotus japonicus. RNAcentral describes it as "long non-coding RNA (LJAP_LNC000163)". Lineage: Eukaryota; Viridiplantae; Streptophyta; Magnoliopsida; Fabales; Fabaceae. The record is from RNAcentral.